AUGGCUUCUUGCAGAUAUGGGCGUUCACAUCUCUCAGCCUACCCCUUUGUAUUGUGAUAACGAGAGUGCGAUAAUGAUUGCCAAGAAUUCAGUGUUUCAUGAGCGCACAAAGCACAUUGAGAUUGACUGUCAUUUCACACGUCAUCAUCUCCAGAAGGGCACUAUCUCCCUUCCUUAUGUUCCUUCCUCUUUGCAGAUUGCUGAUAUUCUUACGAAGCCGUUGACUGCUCAUCGAUUCCAUUUUCUGUCUGACAAACUCUCAAUGCUUAUUGCUGUUGCAUUGUGAGUUUGAAGGGGGAUGUUAACCUAAUAAUAUUUUGGGCUUUAUUUUGUAUUGGGUUUUAUGAUUGGGCCUUUUCGCUAGGAAACCCUAAUUAGCUUGUCUAUAUAUUAUGUCUUUCCUUUUCAUUGUAUUUGUACUUCUCUUUGAUAAUAAUAUGAAACCCUAGCCGUUAUAUGUAUUUCAUUUGUUAGUUUACAUCAAUCAAUUACCUUAUCUGUUUUUGAUCAAUAACUUCUUUUCUACACAUACGUCUUCGACCGUACCUCCGACCUCUAUGGCCUUCUUUCUAAUCGAAUCGGAGGAGAGGUCAUGUAGGUCACCGUCGUUUACGAUUGAAUCAGGGAUAUUAAGACGUGCCGAUGGGCUACGGAGGUAGAAAACGGCGGUGUCGUACUACUUCCUGUUCUGUUCCUUUUACUUUUCAAUUUGAAUUGACAUGCUGAAGUUUGUAAAGUUUAGUUUUUGAAGUAAUUGUCAGUUUUGUUCUUCAUCUACCUAUUUCUUCAAUUUCUUUUUGUUCUUUUGUCUCAGAAACCUUACUCUUGCUGUUUGAAUGGUCUUUUUUUUCCAGUGUAUGUGUGUAUGGGUGGAAUACAAGAGGUUCAGUUGACAGUCCUGUUAUGUUGGUAAUGUACCAUAUAGUUCCACCUACUCUAUCUAUAAUUUCAUUUGAAUCUUUUAUCUUAUUGCUUUACUGGCUCUAUCUUUCUAUAUUUCCAUUUUUACCCUUUAACACCAGUUAAUAUAUCUAACCAGGAACCCUAUAAUAGAGAGUCAAAAUAUAUUGACGUUAGGAAAGAUACACAUAGUAGAGUUAGUAAAACAUGUAAAUUCAUUAGGUAGACCAUCAUAUACGUAUAUACCUGCUUAUUGUUAGCUUCAUUAGGUGGACCAGCAUAUACCUCUUAUGGGUUUAUGGAAAGCUAGCAGUAUUGUACAUUUAUGGAUUUACCCUUGGGUUCAGUUUUAGACAAUUGAGGCACUUUAAUAUGUUUCGGCACCUGAAUUGGCGUUGAGGUUGUACUUACAUUGUGCAAAGCGGCUCAAGAUAUAAACCUCCUUCCAACGUUUGUUUUCUACCUUUACUCCCACUACACAUAUGUCCAAAGAAGGUUAAAAUUGGGGUUGUAAAGCUAAAACCUUGACUACUUUCAACAAACAGAGAAAAAAGAAAUCAAUAUAAACGCGAAGCAGAAGGGCCAAAAUCAAUAUAUUGAGGUGAAAAUAGUAAAAACUUGCAGGGAGCUAGGUAUAGGGGAUGGAGGAUUCUACAAACCUGGAUUCCCUAUCAUGUUUUUGAAGUGCACCAAGGUUCUCCUCUUUUCACCUUUACAGAUAAAUAAUAUAGAUAAUCCUGUAAGCCUUUACACCCGACAAUGCCAUUGUGUUAUUAUAAAUAAAUAAUACCAUUUGAUAUAAUAUGUAGAUAUGUAUGAUUUUAAAGUCCAACCCGCACUUUGAAGAGAAUAGGUGUAAACGCAAUACCAACAAUUGAGGAAGUUAACAUUUUUAAGGAUGAAACAGUUAUCCAGUUCUUAAAUCCCAAGGGUACUAAAUUUAUCAAUAAAAUCAGUUUUUUUUUUCUUUUUUUUUCUCAGGUAUCUUCACAUUUUGAGCUUCUAAUAUUUUCCAUUUGUGGACCCCGAUGGGAAUCUAUGGGUUAGGGAAUCCGGACAUGAAGAUGAUGAGGGUCAAGAUGUAAUUGCUUUGCUGCUGAUGUUCCCAAAUGAUGCCUUUGAAAAUGAAUUGUAGGCUUUUCUUGCUGUACGGAAGCAAAAAGACAUUAAAGGGUAACUUCGCUCAGGUGCUCAUUUAUGUAAUAUUUCUCAUUGAAUUGUUUAUAUUGUUGCUAGCUUUAUAAACUUUUUUUAAUUGGUGUUUAUUAAAAUUUAAAAUUAAUCAAGUGUUUGCUGGUAGGAGGGGUUCUUCCUUAUAGUGCAGUCUAACCACCGCAAUUUCUUAACUCCUUUGAAGUCAAAAUCGAAAGGAUUUCUCUUUUGUUCCUUAUAAUUCGCAUGAUGUAUGGAUUUUUAAGCUAUAAUGUGCUUUUGAAUUGUUGGUAAUCCUAAUUCCUAGGAUAUGGGGUAUAAAUUUU
Lactuca sativa (garden lettuce) is the source of this 2378-nucleotide non-coding RNA. The record is from RefSeq and is a predicted model, not a curated record. NCBI's taxonomy places the organism in Eukaryota, Viridiplantae, Streptophyta, Magnoliopsida, Asterales, Asteraceae.